Molecule: long non-coding RNA, 439 nt
Filed under: Cyanistes caeruleus (blue tit)
Lineage: Eukaryota; Metazoa; Chordata; Aves; Passeriformes; Paridae
Description: lncRNA (ENSCCEG00000001742.1)
Source: RNAcentral
CAACACCUUGGGUGGCAAAAGCUUGUGAGGGAGCACUCAGUGGGACAGUUUAAUUUUGCCUCUGACCCUGGCACUCCUGACACUCACUGGGUGAUGUGACUGCCACAGGAAGACUGCAGCUCAUGUGAUUUUAACAUUUCUCCAGUCCCAAGCAGAACCAGUUUGAUGUGAGCAGACAAUUUCUGAUGGAACUGAAUGCUCUGAAAUGACAGAAGGGCUCAAAAGGCUCGUUUCUUGGUAACAGCUUUUGGUCAGCCAGAAAAACAAAACCAAACUGGUGGAGUCUGGAUGUAGACUUUUGGAUGCAGAUGCUUUAUAGCCCCUUUGGCUUCAGCCAGACCUACCAGAGAGGCAUUAUUUCAAGGCUGGUAGUGACUUGAAGGUAGAGCAUCCUGUUUCUAGUGAGAUUAGAAUAGAGAAAGCUCAGAAAGGCUUUAAG